UACGUAGGGGGCAAGCGUUGUCCGGAUUUAUUGGGCGUAAAGAGCGCGUAGGCGGCCUGGAAGGUCAGCUGUGAAAACUCGAGGCUCAACCUCGAGACGUCGGUUGAAACCACCUGGCUAGAGUCCGGAAGAGGAGAAUGGAAUUCCCGGUGUAGCGGUGAAAUGCGCAGAUAUCGGGAAGAACACCCGUGGCGAAGGCGGUUCUCUGGGACGGUACUGACGCUGAGACGCGAAAGCGUGGGGAGCGAACAGG
RNAcentral lists this ribosomal RNA (253 nucleotides) under uncultured bacterium. RNAcentral's name for it is "partial 16S ribosomal RNA". It matches the Rfam family "Bacterial small subunit ribosomal RNA", at positions 524 to 776 of the family's 1533-position model. The record is from RNAcentral.